RNA transcript from Hippopotamus amphibius kiboko, 12553 nucleotides. It is a transcript of the gene named RNA binding motif protein X-linked, with no coding region annotated. The record is from RefSeq and is a predicted model, not a curated record. The transcript has 10 exons. NCBI's taxonomy places the organism in Eukaryota, Metazoa, Chordata, Mammalia, Artiodactyla, Hippopotamidae.
UGUCUCCUUUGUUCGCCCUCGUUGCGCAGUAGUGCGAGCUGCUUUCCCCUUCCGUUCUCGGGACCGACCGCCCUCCCGCGUGCUGAGCAGCUAGGAAGCUGCUGUCGGCGAGCUCGUAGGAGCUUGAAACCGUCGUCACCCCUCCAACAUUCACCGGGGGGAAAAAUGGUUGAAGCAGAUCGCCCAGGAAAGCUCUUCAUCGGUGGCCUCAAUACGGAAACAAACGAGAAAGCCCUUGAAGCAGUGUUUGGCAAAUAUGGACGAAUAGUGGAAGUUCUCUUGAUGAAAGAUCGCGAAACCAACAAAUCUAGAGGAUUUGCUUUUGUCACCUUUGAAAGCCCAGCAGAUGCUAAGGAUGCAGCGAGAGACAUGAAUGGAAAGUCCUUAGAUGGAAAAGCCAUCAAGGUAGAACAAGCCACUAAACCAUCAUUUGAAAGUGGUAGACGUGGACCACCUCCACCUCCAAGAAGCAGAGGCCCUCCAAGAGGCCUUAGAGGCGGAAGAGGAGGAAGUGGAGGAACUAGGGGACCUCCCUCACGUGGAGGGCACAUGGAUGAUGGUGGCUAUUCCAUGAGUUUUAACAUGAGUUCUUCCAGGGGACCACUUCCAGUAAAAAGAGGACCACCACCUCGAAGUGGGGGUCCUCCUCCUAAAAGAUCUGCCCCUUCAGGACCAGUUCGCAGCAGCAGUGGAAUGGGAGGAAGAGCUCCUGUAUCACGUGGAAGAGAUAGUUAUGGAGGUCCACCUCGAAGGGAACCCCUGCCCUCUCGUAGAGAUGUUUAUUUGUCCCCAAGAGAUGAUGGAUAUUCUACUAAAGACAGCUAUUCAAGCAGAGACUACCCAAGUUCUCGUGAUACAAGAGAUUAUGCACCACCACCAAGAGAUUAUACUUACCGUGAUUAUGGUCAUUCCAGUUCACGUGAUGACUAUCCAUCAAGAGGCUAUAGUGAUAGAGAUGGCUAUGGUCGUGAUCGUGACUAUUCAGAUCAUCCAAGUGGAGGUUCCUACAGAGAUUCAUAUGAGAGUUAUGGUUGAGAAUUUUGGUCAUGGUCAUGGAGUGCUGAUUGAUUCACAAUAGAUAAAGCUGGCAGCAAGAGAAAUGCAAUGCUAAGAGUUGUUGAAGCAGAAGAAUGCUGAUUGUCCUUAAGGCACAACAGUUGCAUAAGCAGUACUGAUCAGAAUUGGUUUGGUGCAGACAAGAUUUUUGCCUUCCAGGGUUCCUGUGGAUCUAAGGAAGGCAUCAACGUUGGUUAGCACUCUUAACUAGGGAGUGGCAGUUACUUUAAGUAAUUGACCAGAUGGAGAAAGGGGAGCAAUUAAGGAAAUUGGUAAGUGGAGGUAGUCAGGAAGUUCUAAGCAUUCUUAAUGUAGAUUUUACAGCUUUUGACUUCAUUUCCUUUAGCUAAAGUCAUAGGGAAGACAGCAAUUUAGAACUUCCUAAUUACCACUGAUUGUCAGAAAGUCGGAUUCGAAAAAUGAAAGGCAUAAGAGGUAACUUUAUCCAGGAAAGUGAUUUUUCAGCAAGUAAAGUGUUUCUUGGUGUUCAUCCAGAAGUGAGAUUUAGUCUUAAAACUAAAGGGGGAAGACUAAUAUCUGGAAACUAAGGUAACUGGAAACAUAGCUAAAAUGCUCAAAAGCACACUUUUAAAAACUGGAAACAGCAUUGGGCCGUUUGGCUUUUGUUGUUGUUUUUUCUUUCUUUCUUUCUUAAAAGAUAGUUGUUUUGUAAGCCUACUGCUUUACCCCCCACCCCACUUCAUAUCUUGGAAACAAAUCAAGGUACAGUACAGCUUUAUCAUUGCGUUGGAGACUGGAGCCAACAGUGUAAAAGCUGAUGUUCUCAAAGGAAACAGAUUUGAGUUGUUGGGCUAGAAGAAACUAACUCACUUGAAUUUUUGCCUAGUAAAUAAUCAGUACUGUCAUGUUUAACAUUUGCAAUUGUGGAAAAUAAUCCAGAAAUUUAACCCUCAUUUUGAUGGGCUCUUCUAAUCACAGACCAUCAGGGUAUUGACCAAAUUAAAAAAGUCAUUGCACUUGUGUCUUCCUCAAUCAUUCUGUAAUCUAAAUUACUUGAGUUUAUGCUUCCGUGGACCUUUUGGCUCUUGAGAUUUUAUUUAGGUAUCUUGAAGGUAGUGUAGAACAUAGAUUAAUCAUAGUAAACAUGAAUAAUACAUUGAAGAAUGCUUAAUGACCAGACAGCUGUUUGGCAAAUAGUUUAUUGACCCAGCAGACUUAAUUCUGCUCCUGUUGGAAAAAGAAUCGGUCUUGAUUCUUUUGGCUUUAUACUGGCUGUAAAAGAAACAGAAUAAUAUGUUUUCCUUGUUUAAUUGGUAGUUGAAUAUAGAACUUAGGUAUAAUAGAUGGCUUUUCUCUUUUUGGAAUGUUUUGUAUUUGAACCUUAAUAAAACUUAACAUGCAUGUUUGGCCCUGGGUUCUUUUUUAUAAUUUAUUUUGGCUUUUAAAUAAGGAUCUCCACAUGUCCCCCUCCCCCAAAUGCUAGCUCUCAGGCACUUAGCCCUUGCAGUUAGUUGCCAGGGAACAUAGUCACUGAGGUAGCCUACGACUAGGCUUCCUUUAUUAGGGGAGGGAGCUUCAGGCAGGCAUCAAGGUAAUUGGGAUGAUUUCAUUUAUUCCUUACCCUGGAAUUGGAGCAAUAACACCAAAGAACUAGAAGCUGAAGUACCAGAGAUGUACUAUAGUUCUUUUAAUAUUUACUGCUGGCUCCUGGAGGUUAGUUAAUUCGAUUUGGCAGAGUCCCACUUCAGACCAAGUCCCUCAGGGAUGCUGUUAAACCAGCACAUGAUUAGUGUGCUGCUUUAUUGGUAACUUUCUAUUGUACUGUUUCUAUGUACAUCUGACUCAUGUUUAUUUGCACUUGAUAAAAACUAAUUUAGUGACAAUUGUCCUUUAUUUCAGGGAAAACAAUCGAUGGAUUGGGAGUGCAGUGCCUCACAAGCAGUGAAGCACUGUUCCCAGGGGAUUUGGGGUAAGAGUUUUACAGAGUGUUAAAGAGGCAAUGAGGCAUCUGGCUGUGGGGUCCUGUUUUCUAGGGGAAGAUGAGCUAGCUAAAGCUGAGUUGGAGGAUUAUGGGUGUAUGUUAAAGGUCACCUUGACAGGUGUUUGUUUUCCUGUAAGCGUGGGCUGACAGGUUUACCUUUGUGAGGUGGGCUGGACUAUUGCAGCAGCCUUCAUUUUGUGGAUUCUGAUAUAUGUAUUAAGUUCUCAGCAUCUGAAACAGGGUAUUGUGAUUGGGUUAUAUAGCCAGUUGAAAGAACUUAUCACAUGGAAAAGCAGUGUUAGCCCUACGAUGACAAAAAGCCCUAAGUACUGUCAUUCUGUAAAUAACCUUGGCUCUGUACCAAUUGUUGAAAUAAUUGAAAAACUUAUUAAAUCAUCACAACCAUUUUUUAGUUGCAUAUGUCAACCUGAAAAUAUGCAUUCACAACAACAAGCUCAAUGUUUAUAAAUUUUGAAGGAAAUUUCAACCUGAAGCAUACUGCGAGAUUUGGUAAAAAGCAGUAAAACUAUCAAGGUCACCCCAGCAAGCUACCUUGUAGAAGUUACUUUUCCUUGAUUCCUGCAUUUAUCCCCUAGUGAUACAGACUGCCUGUUCUGGAACAUAAAUGCAGUCAAAUUGUGGGUUCUUAUAUAAGGCUUUCAUUAAGCAAAGUGCUUUUGAGAUUCAGCCAUGGUGUGUACGUAUGAGUAUAAGCAAAGUAUGGUUUACCUGUUGCUGGGAACCUGGGCUUUUUCAGCUCUUGGCUGUUAUGAAUAAAGUCCCUGUGAAUGAAAGUUCUUAUGCCAAUCUGUACAUGAUUAGAGAUGAAAGCAUUAGGUAUGAAAUUGCUGGGUUCUAAAAUGGGAAGUUUUAUAAGAAAUUGCCAGGCGAUUUUCUCCAAAGUUGUAUUACCACUAACAGUUCUGGUUACUCUAGACUCCAUCAAUGUUUGGUGUUUUUAAAAUUUAGCCAUUUUAUUGGGUACAUUGUAUCAUUGUGGAUUAAAUAUGUAUAUUCCUGAUGAAUAAUGAGUAGCAUAUUUUUUGAGUUAAAAUACAGUGAAAUGCAUAGAUGUCAACUGUUUGAUUAGUCUUAAAAAAUACUUUAAGUUUUAGACUGUAACCUUCACAUCAGGACAGAACAUUUCCCUCCAGGAAGUCCCCACCCCUUAGAGAAGCAACAUUGACUUGGUUUCUAUUGGUGUAGGAUAGUUUUUGUAUAUUUUAAUACUUUUUAUAAAUGAGUCCUAUGUCAGUGUACCUUCUGUUUAACUUUCAACAUAUUUGAAACUCCUCCAUAUAGUUGUAUUAGUUUGUUACUUUUUGUUGCCAGGUAGAAUUCCAGUGUAUCGUGUAUCCAUUCUGUUGAUGGACAUCUCAAGGCUGGUUUAGGUUUUGGGUUAUCAGGAAUAAUGUGCUGUGAAUGUUCUGGUGAAGGUCUUGAACGUAUACGUUCAUUUCUUCUGGAGAAAUAUCUGGCAGAGGAAUUGAUGGGGUGGGUAAUAGGGUAGAUGAUAUAUACUUAAUUUUAAGAAACUGCCAAAUAGUUUAAAAGUGACCACCAUUUUAUGCCCUCAUAGCAGUUUAUGAAAGUUCUGGUUGCUUUCCAACAUUUGCUGUUGUUGAUCUAUUCAGUUGUUAACCAUUUUAGUGGAUGGGUUGGGGUGGUAUCACAUUGUGAUUUUAAUUUGCGUUUUCCUGAUGACUAAUGGUGCUGAGCAUUUCUUAAGUAUUUGAUUGUGUGAGGUCUUAGUUGCUGCACGUGGGCUUCUUAGUUGUGGCAUGCGAACUCUUAAUAAACAACUUUUUUUUUUGGCUGUGUUGGGUCUUUGUUGCUGCACAUGGUCUUUAGUUGUGGUGAGCCGAGGCUACUCUUAGUUGUGCUGCUCGGGCUUCUCGGUGCAGUGGCUUCUCAUUGCAGAGCAUGGGCUCUGUCUAGGCACGUGGGCUUCAGUAGUUGCGGUGUGUAGGCUCAGUAGUUGUGGCUCGAAGGCUCUAGAGCACAGGCUCAAUAGUUGUGGCAGGCGGGCUUAGUUGCUCCGUGGCAUGUGGGAUCUUCUGGGACCAGGGAUCGAACCCGUGUUCCUGCAUUGGCAGGUGGAUUCUUAACCACUGUGACACCAGGCAAGUCCCUGGCAUGCUGAUUCUUAGUUGCAGCAUGCAUGUGGGAUAUAUAGUUCCCUGAUCAGGGGUGGAACCCGAGCCCUGAGCGUGGAGUCCCAUCCACUGUGCCACUAGGAAAGUCCUGAGCAUUUCUUAAAAAAACCUUUUAUUUUGGGAUGAUUUUUAAAUUUACAGAAAAGUUACAUAGAUAACAUAAGGCUCCUGUGUAUCCUUCACCCAGUUUGCCCUAACUUUAAUAUCUUAUAUAAGCAUGGUGUAUUUGUCAAAACUAAGAGAUUAGCAUUGGCAUAUGAACUAAUAAACUAGACUUUAUUGAAGUUUCACAAAUUUUCUGCUACUGUCUUUCUGUUCCAGGACCUAGUCAAGUAUCACACCUUCUGUUUCACAUUGGGUAGUUUCUCAUGUUCUUAUAGCUGUUUUUAUAAGUUCCUUGAAAAACUGUCCAAGUUUUUUUGUCCAUUAAAACAAUUCUUUUAAAUAUAAAAUUCUCAAUAUAUUCUGGGUGCAAGGUCUUUGUCAGGUACAUGUGUUAAUAUUUUCUCAUAGUCUGUCUUGCCUAUUUUAUUUUUCUUGAUGAGCAAAUGAAAUCUAAUUAAUCAAACAUUUUAUGGUUAUUGCUUCCUGUGAUAGAUCAAUUGAAUUCCAGGUCAUGAAGAUUUUUUUUCCUUUCUUCUGCAAAGUCUGGUAGUUUUAAGUUGUUAGGUCUAUGAUUCAUUUUGAAUUGACUUUUUUAUGGUGAGGGUAGGGGUUUAAGUUUACUUCUUAAUAUAUGGACUUAAAUUUAUUCUAGUGUCUGUUGUUGCUAAGACUACUCUUCAAUUGUUUCAGUGUCUUUGUAGGAACCAUAGGUCCAUUACUGUGCUUAAAAUUAAUAUAACCCUAACCCUUAUCUUACUGUGGCUUUAUAGUAAGCUAGAAAUACCAGUUUUUAAAGUUUUCCUCCUGUAUUUUUUUCUCCUUGAAGUUAUUGUUGCUUAUUUCUACUUUUCUACUUUAAACUCUCUCUUCCAUGUUAGAGGCUUUCCUCAAGUGAGUGGAGAUUUUUGGUUUGGUGCUCAUGAUUGAUGAUGAGUAGGGUAUUAACACGUUUACAAGCUCUGAGGGCUUGACUUCACAGCUUCACUGUGGUGGCUGUUUGCUGGGGGAAAUCCUGAUGCCCUUGCCUGUGGGGGUUCUCUUCUUGGGAGAGUCACAUUCCUCAAGGAAAUCCUGGGCCAAAUUCCUGUCUGGAGGGUCUUAGGUUUAUUUACUGGCUUUAAAUGUAGGUGUGGGGUGGAGGGGAUGGGAGGUGACUCCACCUGUGUGCCUGCCUGUGUAAUAUGUGCACCCCACACACACACUCCCAACAGCUCUGGUGCUGUCUUAACGUGACCCUUGGCACCGCUGUUCUGUCUUGCCAUGGUGAUGAGGUGGACAGUGAUCUUUACCGAGCAACCCUGGGGGAACAAAAGGACACAAUCAGAAAGUUUUUCCUCUGGCCUUUUGUCCAUGGUGUGUGCCCCUCUUUCAUUUUAGGCCACUGCGCCCCCCUCCCCCCCCACCCCAGACUUACCAUCUCCAGUCUUGGUGUUCCUCAGUUUUAUCUGAACUAUGAGAAUUCCAGCUCCAGCAUUACCGGCUGUGUGACCUUAGGCAAGUUAUUUAAUCUCUCUGGUCUUGUUUUUUCAUCUGUAAAAUGGGGUUAAUAAUACCUUAUAGCAUUGGCUGGGAAGAUUAAAUGAACCAGCAGUGCCUGGCACAUGGUAAAUGCUGCAUAAUAGAUUUCAUCAUUAUUUGACAAUUUGCCUUCUUUGUGUCAUCUUCAGGGUUGGAAUUGGAGGGAGCCAGCACCUUAUGUUAGAUCAGCAUCUUGUCAAGGACUGAAAGUCCCUACUGCAAGCCAAUGUUUGUUCUUUCUCUCCUGAGUCAUAUUCCUCAAUUUUUUGUUAAUUGUUAAUGAUGAGUCCAUACAAGACUCUUCUCAUUUUCACUUUUUAUUCUCACUCCCUGCCCACCAGUGGCAAGCAUUCUAAUGCAUUUAAUGUAUAUCCUUCUUGUUUCUGUUCUUAUUGAAUGUAAAUCAAUGUUUUGCAUGCAUAUAUUUAAAAUUAAGUAGUAUGGUGUUAUAUAUUUGUUUCUUAUAACUUGUCAUCGCCAAGUGUUGAAGAUUUGAAGAUGUUGGAAAUACACAUCUAGUCCACUGGCUUCUAACUAGCAUGGUAUUCAAAGGUGUGUAUUUGCCUAUCCACUCUCCCAGUUUGGUGUGUAAGCUAUUCUUCCUGGGUUGUAGUGUGUAUCUGGCCGCCUGUAACAUCCUGAGAUUUGACCCUAGUUAUGGGUUUAAUGGCAGUUAGAAGUGGCUGUGGUGGAUCUUAAGGAGAAUACCAUCCCCUUUCAAGGAAUCUGCUGCCCCAGGUGAAGUUAUCCCAGUAUUUUUAAGCAGAGGAAGACUGAGUCGUACAGAUAUUGCAGGACAAGCACUCAGAUGAACUCAGAAAAAUCCAGCUAACACCGGUUUGAUGGGCAUGGUUACUGGUGUAAUGGUUAUGUGCAGCAGCUGCUUCGUUUGGCACUUCCUGAUUCAUUGUGACUGUGCCUGCGUGCCACAGGGUACUAGCAUCCUUUUUUUCUCACGUGCAAGGAGCACUGCCCUCGAGCCCAAAGGCAUGAACAAAGCAGUCCCCAAAUCCUGUUUUUGUGGGCCUGGAGUUGUCACUCUCCAGGGUCUAUCUCCAGGUCCAUUCAGUAUUUACUUGGGUCCAGUAAAGAGAGGGAAACUACACAGUACUUUGAACAGGGAAGGUUUGAUAUAAAGAAUUAUUUAACAUAGAUAGCAUAAGGAGGGAUUACUUAGAAGUAAAAAGAACUCUUAAGAAUAUAGGAAUUGCAGAUAGAAUAAUGUAACAACAUGUAUAAUAACCACUAUUUCUAGGACCAAGAUGGAAUACUCAAGGAAGAGCCACACCCGGUUCUGAAGAAGGCUUUUAUUAGGGAGGUGUCUCACCAGUGGUACUCUGCUAUAACACUGACCAGGAAGGGGAGUUAGCCGGGAGGCUGCUGCCCAUGGCUCACUACAGGAACUGAGCACAGUUAAGGGCCUGAGGCAGGAGACACCCACCUCCACCAGGAGAAGCUGCCCAGGCUGGAGAAACACAGGACACCCUGCCAAGCAAGCCUACCUCAACCAGGAGGCAAAACUCUUAUCUCCUUGCAAUCUCUCCAAUGUCUUACUGACAAAACUUACUGUGAUGUGAUAUGGUAAGAAGUACGCACUUGGGUCUUCAUCCCCAGCCCCUGAAACAGCUCCAGAGUGAUAAAGGUGAAAAGAGCAUCUUUUGUUGUAAUACUUGGUUUUUCCUGAAAUAAUUCCAGAGUGGCAAAAGUAAAAAAAGAUUGUCUUUUGUUCAUAACAAGCCCCUUUCAACCACACCGGAGUUUGUUAAUGAAGUGACUUUUGGAAAGUCCCUAGGGGUGUAGGGCUGGUUGUCAGGGAACCAACUGUGUGAUUAGAGGCUUGGAACUUUCAGCCCCACCUCCUGACCUCAGGGAGGGGAGGGGAGUGGCCAGUGAUUUAAUCAUGCCUGUGUAACAAAAGCUUCAUAAAAACUCUAUCCAAAAGGGUAGGGGGAGAGCUUCCCCGUUGGUGAAUACUUAGGUGAAUAUGUAGAGUUGCUGAGAGGGUGGUGUGCCCAGACAGAGCAUGGAGGCUCCAUGCCCCUUCCCCGGACCUUGCCCUAUGCAUCUCUUCCAUCUGGCUGUUCCUGAGUUAUAUCCUUUUAUAAUAAAUGGGCAGUAGUGAUUAAAGCACUAUCCUGAUUUCUGUGUGCUGUUCUAGCAAGUUAUUGAACCAGACUAGGUGGUAGGGGGAACCCCUGGUUUACAGCCAGUCAGUCAGAAGCACAGGAGGCCCAGGGUUGUGAUUGGCAUCUUAAGUAGUCCUGUGGGACUGAGCUCUUAACUUGUGGAAUUUGACACUACAGGUAGCUUGAAUUGAAUUGAAUUAAAUUGCAGGCCACCCAGCUGUUGUCAAAGAAUAGAGCAGUGUGGGAAAAUACCCACACUUUUGGUGGCCAGAAAUCUUGAGAGGAGUAGAAUAGAGGAGUCAAGUUUUCCUUUUACCUAAUGUUAUGCCAGUUGGCAAACGAAAAAUAUUUAAGGGCUCAGAUUCAUUUUGAUAGAACAAGCAACAGGAGUGAAUUUGAAGCUGAGAGGCAAUAAAUUGAUAACUGGUAUGAAGGGUAAAGUUAGUCUCAUAAAAUAAAUUGGGAUUUUUUUUUUUUUUUUGCCACACUACAAGGCUUGUGGGGUCUUAGUUCCCUGACUAGGCAUUGAACCUGGGCCCUCAGCAGUGAAAUCAAGGAGUCCUAACCACUGGACUUCCAGGGAAUUCCCACCUCUGUUUUCUGAAAGAGUGUUCAAGAUUGGUACUGGCUUUUCCUUAAAUGAUAGAAUUCACUAAUGAAAUCAUAUGGGCCUGGAAUUUUCUUUGUGAGGAGAUUUUUUUUAUUGCAAAUUAAAUUUCUUGAGUAGAUAUAGGUCACAGUUACUGUGGUGUUUUUUUUGUUUUCUGUUUGUUUUUUUGGCUGCUUUGAGUCUUAGUUGCAGCAUGCAGGAUCUUUGUUGCAGCACACUGGCUUAGUUGCCCCGCGGCAUGUGGGAUCUUAGUUCCCUGAUCAGGGAUUGAACCUGAGUCCUCUGCAUUGGAAGGCAGAUUCUUUCUUUCUUUCUUUAUUGGCUGCAUUGGGUCUUUGUUGCUGCACACAGGCUUUCUCUAGUUGCAGCGAGCAAGGGCUCCUCAUUGCGGUGGCUUCUUGUCGCAGAGCACGGGCCCUAGGGGCGUGGGCUUCAGUGAUAGGGCACAUAGAUGCAACAGUUGUGGUGCGCAGGUUCAGUAGUUGUGGUGCACGGGCUUAAUUGCUUCGCGGCAUGUGGUAUCUUCCUGGAGCAGGGAUUGAAUCCUUGUCCCCUGCAUUGGCAGAUGGAUUCUUAACCACUGCGCCACCUAGGAAGUCCUGGAAGGCAGAUUCUUAACCACUGAACCACCAGGAAAGUCCCCACAGUCACGAUUGUUAUGUUGCAUGGUAAAAGGGUUUUUACAGAUAUAAUUAAGAUUAUUAAUCGGCUGACUUGGGGACUUCCCUGGUGGUCCAGUGGGUAAGAAUCCGUGCUCCCCAAUGCAGGGGGUCUGGGCUCAAUCCAUGGGCCGGAAACUAGAUCCCACAUGCUGCAACUAAGAGUUCACAUGCCACAACGAAGAUCCCAUGUGCCACAACUAAAACCCGGCACAGGCUAAAUAAAUAUUUUUUUUAAAAGUUAAUUGAUUUUGAGUUAACCAAAAGGGGUAUUAUCUGAGUAGGCCCAACAUAGUCUCAUGAGCUCUUUAAAAACAGAAUUUUCUCUAGCUGGUAGCAAAGGAGGCAGUCAGGGAGAUUCGAACAUGGGAAGGAUAUCAUGUGCCAUUACUUGGUUGAAGAUGGAGGGCACUCAUGUCAAGGAAUAAGGGUAGCCUCUAGAAGCUGAGAACAGCCCCAGGCUGACAGCCAGCAAGGAACGGGAACUAAGUAAUACCAUCAACCCAAAUGAGCUUGGAAGCUGAUUCUUCUCCAGAACCUUAAGAGAAUAGCCCCGCCCAGCCAAUGCCUCGAUAUUAGCCUUAGGUGAACCUAAGCAGAGAACCUAAUAGGACUGACUUGGACUUCUGACCCACUCCGCCCACCCCACCCCCAAACAUCCAUUUGAUUAGCUCUCUUAUUUCCCUCAAGUCUUUGCUCAUCUCACCCCCUCAAGGAGGCCUACCCUGACUGUCCUAUUUAAUACUGCAAUCUGCCCAUCCUGUCUCUCCCCAUGCCCAGCAGGCCUGAACUCUUACCCCGCUGUAGUUUUUCCCCCAUAACUUUUGUUACUUUCUUACAUACUAUAUUAUUUACCUAUUAUAUCCAUUAUUUAUUUUUUGUCUUCCCUUGUUAGAAUAUAACCUCCAUGAGAUCAGGGAACUUUACCUGUUUGUUUAUUGAUGUGUCUCAAAAGCCUGGCAGAGUAGGAGUUCAACAAAAAUGUUGAAAGAUUGAAUACACUCUUCUCCCCUUACGUACUCUUCUAAAAAUGUCUUUGCCUAACACACUUCAACUAUUUUGCAUGUAUCCCCAAAUAUAUUGCUCUGUGGCCAAUCCCAAAGGAAAACAACUCAAAGUUUUGUGAAUAAUUGCAUUCAAUUCCAAAUGCAGAAUUUCUGGGAUCUUAACCUUUAUAUUCUCCUAGAUACAAACUAAAAAUGUUAAAUUUAUCCCCAAACGUUCUAUGUAAAGUAUUGGGAGGAAACAAGAGUAUGAUACAGGAAGGGAAACUACAACCCUUGCUUGGUAACUGGUCACAAGGCUGUAAUUGGUAUUUAUAAUAUUCUCCCUAAAAAAUCUAUUUUAUAUACUCUUUUACCUCAGUUAAUGGUAUUUUAUUUGGUAAUAUAACCUAAACCUUCAUUCCUGAGGCGUCCAACUACCUGUGUGUUGUAGUAAUCUUUAACUUUUAAAAAACAUUAAAAAAAAGUGUAACAGGAAAGGAAGCAAAGCAACUUCCACCUCUGACCAUGUUGGGGUAAUUGGUACUGAACCUGCUUUCCCACCAUAAACAACUGUAAAACUGGACAAAAUAUAAGGAGACAACUAUUUUCAGGCAUCGCUCAGUAUUUCAGGAGUACAAUCCCUGAGAGAAGGGAAACACACAAAGGGAGGUACAUAUGCACUCCAUUAUCUGGCCUGGGACACUUUCCUGACUGCAACACAGGGAGGUAGAGUCCAGAUCUCACCAGGUUAAAAUGAAGGUGUUAGGAUGACUGCAUUUGUCUCUGUAAGCUGGAGAAGAUCCAUUUUCUUGCUUAUUUGAUUUGUUGGUAGAUUUCAUUUCCUUGGGGUUACAGGACUGAGGUCCAUGUUUACUUGUAGGCAGUUCCCAGCUUCUAGAGGCUACCAAAUCCCUUGGCACGUAUCCCCCUUCCUCCAACAUCAGAGUCAACAAUGGCAGGUGGAGUCCUUGUGAUAUUGCAUCUCUCUGACUUCUGCUUCUUUCUUCCACUUUUAGGAUUCUUGUGAUUUGAUUGCCCCACCCCCCCAUGGAUAAUCCAGAAUAAUCUCACUAUUUUUUUGUAAACUGAUUAGUAACUUUAAUUCCAUCGGCAUCUCUAACUCCUUUUCUCCAUGAAAUAUAGCAUAUUUAUAGGUUCCGGGGAUCAAACAUGGACAUUUUUUUGGGGGGGGGGGGACCAUUAUUCUGCCUGCCACACAGGGUAUGUUCUCUGACUGUAAUGGAACCAAACUAGAAAUCAAUAACAGAAAUACAAGGUGGUCCAGUGGUUAAGACUCUCCGCUUCCACUGGAGGGGGCACGAAUUUGAUCCGUGGUCGGGGAACUAAGAUCCCACAUGCCUCAGGGUGUGGCCAAAAAAAAAAAAAAAAAAGAAA